Molecule: non-coding RNA, 70 nt
Organism: Podarcis lilfordi (Lilford's wall lizard)
Lineage: Eukaryota; Metazoa; Chordata; Lepidosauria; Squamata; Lacertidae
Source: the annotation of a GenBank genome assembly
GGCUGUAGCUCGGUGGUAGAGCAGCCACCUUGCAUGCAGGUGGUCCUGGGUUCAAUGCCAAGGGUCUCCA